RNAcentral lists this long non-coding RNA (3195 nucleotides) under Homo sapiens (human). RNAcentral's name for it is "HSALNT0199392". Lineage: Eukaryota; Metazoa; Chordata; Mammalia; Primates; Hominidae. The record is from RNAcentral.
GCGGGCGUCCGUAGUUAUUUAUUUAUUUAGCGGCUGCAGAAAAGCUCUGCGGCGCUCGCGAAACCCGAAGACUUGCAGGGUAAGAACUGAAGCCACCAAAAGGCUUACUAUACCACACAACACCCAAGCCUUCCUUUGGGGCAUGGGGACAGUGGAUCUAUGGCUCCUCAGGGUGCCAACCAAUUGAAGAAGGAAGCCAGCUCCACUCAACAGCUUCUACAAAGGAAGGGCCACAGGAGAGGGGCUUCAGUGGUUCCAGGCAGCUGCUUCAUUCACAACAGAAUGGCCAUUUUCUCCAGCAUGGCCAACUAUCCCUAGUCUUUUUGUCAUGACAGCCUAGAAGGCAGAAGCUAGGGCCAAGGCGGCUGCUAAGGAAUUCCUACUCCUACUGGGGCCUAAUGUCAGGCUUUCCUUAUAUUGUGGAGUGGGCCCUGGAAGAUAGUUAGAGACCCUUCCUGCUGGGCACCCUGAAGAGGAGCAAGAGGAUCUGGUGAGCAAAAUGAAGCAAAAGUGCAGUGCUGGAGCUGACAGCCCUGUUCCCUACUGCACGCAGUUGGCUCAGGGCUGUCCCCCACUUUGGAGCUUCUUGCCACUCACGGGCUACCCUGCACACACUACUUACUGCCCAGGCCUGUCUGCCACCACAGUACCCUGUGCCUGAGACCUUUCCUGGCCUCUGCUGGAUCCCAGGCCUAGUAUCAUUCCUAGGGACUCCAGAGGCAAGUCCAGGCUAAUAUGCUCUGGGAAAACAAUGUACAAUGUACAUGUUUGCCUUUUGACGUAGAUAAAUGAUACCUGGAUCCCAGGUCUGGCUCUGGGGCAGGGGAGCUUCAGGCCUGGCUAUGGCAGAACACUGAAGGAGGUACUUUGGGUUUUCACAACCUCUUAAAUCAUCUCAGAGAGAGAGUGAACAACUUACUUUCACAUGCACAAGCUGCCGCUGGCUCUGUCACAAGAAGAUGGACUACAAGUAAUAAAAUCAAGAUGAAGUUCUGUGUACAUCUUUCCAGCUUACAAGAAUUGUAGAAAGUUGAAGAUGAAAGGGAUAUUAAAGAGCAUCUCAUUCUACCUCCUCAUUUUGCAGCUGUAAGAACCGAGGCCCAGGGAGGGGGACUGGGGAAGCCACCAUCACACAGCUGCUCCGUGGCAGGAGUUGUGCUAACUUUCUGUGGCUGUUGCCAUUACACCCAGCAUCUUUUGACUUUUGAAAACAGCGAAGGAGAAAUCAGUCCUCCCAGCAUCUUCACCUCCCACGACGUUUAUUGUUUCCAGCUGUUAAAAAUUGGCCCUUUAAAAAUGGGUCGUCUUGCCAGUCAUUGAGGGUCACCGCGGUGGGGAGUGCUGAUUUAGAGGGCGGCAGAACAGGGAGGUGAUUGGAGGCAUAAUUGCCAGUCUCCUCCUUGGCACCUGGGGAUUUCUGUCAUUCAAGUCUCAGGGUGUGUGCCCUCAGCAAAUACUAACCCACAGAGUCAAUUGCUAACUGCAGUCAUCUGUGCAUUUGCCCUCUGGGGAUGGAAAGCCAUAAGAAAUGCCAUUUCCUAAUCUAGUUGGCCUUGGAUGAGAAGAUGUUUUUGCCUAAUGGAAGCCUUUGGAGAGUGAAUAAUGUGAAUAAUGUGUAUUUAGGACCUACAGUGCUCCCCAGGAUGCUGUAAGGGACCUGGUUAUAAAGAAAAAAACCUCACUGAUGGUCUUGGCUUUGUCCUUGUCUGAGUUAAGUCCUUUUGGUUGGAAGUAAUCAACUUGAGCUGACGUAAGCAUUAAGGGACAUAGAAGAGUAUAGCAGUAUCUCAUGAAGUCCAAGGGCAGAUGGCCUCAAGGUAGCCCGAGAAGCUGCUAGGAACCUAGACAGUCCACCUUCUCCAGCUUUCUUCUCUGCUUCGUGUCUCCCUCUGCAAUCCACUUUCUUCUCUGUGAGUAGCUGGGCAGAGGAUAAUCCCUCAACAACUAUCACAUCUACAUCUUCUCUCCUAAAGAGAUUAGCCAAAGGAGUGUACAGUGGAGUUUUCCAGAAGGCAUAUGCCAUGUGCAUCACCACAGCUUAAAUGCAGAAACAGACAUGAGGAUCUAGCUGUGUCCUACUAAGCCAGACAUUCAGGACAUCUAAAAGUGUAAAACAAUGCCACUCUUCUCACUAACUUUUUUGUUUUGGAAAAUAUAUCUUUCAUAAAAUAUUGAUUAUGUUGAUAUAUUACGGGUUUGUUGUUAUUAUUUUAAAUGAAUUAAUAAAUAAUUUUCUGAUUUAAUUUCUAUUACUGUAAAUAUUGAUGGAUAUAUCCUGUAUAAGCAAAAACUCUCUGGGGUUCUCAACUAUUUUUAAGAGUGUAAAGGGGUCAUUAGAGAACUGCUCAAGAAUGUUAGUAUUAUUUAAAGAGCUUCUGCACAGAAAAACUAUCAACAGAGUAAACAAACAAACUACAGAAUGGGAGAAAAUCUUCACAAGCUGUGCAUCUGACAGGGGCUAACAUCCAGACUCUAUAGGGAACUUAAACAUUUCAAUGAGUAAACAAUAAUUAACCCCAUUAAAAAGUGGGCAAAGGACAUGAACAGACACUUCUCAAAAGAAGACAUACAAGCAGCCAACAGACAUGAAAAAAUGUUCCACAUCACUACUCAGAGAAAUGCAAAUUUAAACCACAGGGAGAUACCAUCUCACUCUAGUCAGAAUGGCUAUUAUUAAAAAGUCAAAAAAAUAAUAACAGAUGCUGUUGAGGCUGUAGAGAAAAUGUAAUGCUUAUACAUUGUUGAUGGGAACAUAAAUUAGUCCAGCCACUGUGGAAAGCAGUUUGGAGAUGCCUCAGAGAACUUAGAACUACCAUUUGACCCAGCAGUCCCAUUACUUGGUACAUACCCAAAAGAAAACAAAUGUUUCCACCAAAAAGACGCGUGUGCUCAUAUGUUCACUGCAGCACUAUUCACAAUAGCAAAGACAUGGAAUCAAUCUAGGGGUCCAUCAGUGGUGGGUUAGAUAAAGACCAUGUGGUACACAUACACCAUGAAAUACUGCCCAGCCAUAAAAAAGAACGAAAUCAUGUCCUUUGCAGCAACAUGGAUGCAGCUGGAAGCUGUUAGCCCAAGUGAAUUAAUGCAGGAACAGAAAACCAAAUCCUGCAUUUUCUCACUUAUAAGUGUGAGCUAAACAUUGAGUACACGUGGACGUAAAGAUGGAAACAGCAGACACUGGAGACUACCAGAGGA